RNAcentral lists this ribosomal RNA (460 nucleotides) under uncultured bacterium. RNAcentral describes it as "partial 16S ribosomal RNA". It matches the Rfam family "Bacterial small subunit ribosomal RNA", at positions 338 to 795 of the family's 1533-position model. The record is from RNAcentral.
CCUACGGGAGGCAGCAGUGAGGAAUAUUGGUCAAUGGACGAGAGUCUGAACCAGCCAAGUAGCGUGAAGGAUGACUGCCCUAUGGGUUGUAAACUUCUUUUAUAUGGGAAUAAAACGUUCCACGUGUGGGAUUUUGUAUGUACCAUAUGAAUAAGGAUCGGCUAACUCCGUGCCAGCAGCCGCGGUAAUACGGAGGAUCCGAGCGUUAUCCGGUUUUAUUGGGUUUAAAGGGAGCGUAGGUGGAUUGUUAAGUCAGUUGUGAAAGUUUGCGGCUCAAGCGUAAAAUUGCAGUUGAAACUGGCAGUCUUGAGUACAGUAGAGGUGGGCGGAAUGCGUGGUGUAGCGGUGAAAUGCUUAGAUAUCACGAAGAACUCCGAUUGCGAAGGCAGUUCACUGGACUGCAACUGACACUGAGGCUCGAAAGUGUGGGUAUCAAACAGGAUUAGAUACCCGAGUAGUC